UACGAAGGGGGCUAGCGUUGUUCGGAUUUACUGGGCGUAAAGCGCACGCAGGCGGACUAUUAAGUCAGGGGUGAAAUCCCGGGGCUCAACCCCGGAACUGCCUUUGAUACUGGUAGUCUUGAGUUCGAGAGAGGUGAGUGGAAUUCCGAGUGUAGAGGUGAAAUUCGUAGAUAUUCGGAGGAACACCAGUGGCGAAGGCGGCUCACUGGCUCGAUACUGACGCUGAGGUGCGAAAGCGUGGGGAGCAAACAGG
RNAcentral lists this ribosomal RNA (253 nucleotides) under uncultured bacterium. Its description in RNAcentral is "partial 16S ribosomal RNA". It matches the Rfam family "Bacterial small subunit ribosomal RNA", at positions 524 to 776 of the family's 1533-position model. The record is from RNAcentral.